GACGAACGCUGGCGGCGUGCUUAACGCAUGCAAGUCGAACGGAAAGGCCCUGCUUUUGUGGGGUGCUCGAGUGGCGAACGGGUGAGUAACACGUGAGUAACCUGCCCUUGACUUUGGGAUAACUUCAGGAAACUGGGGCUAAUACCGGAUAGGAGCUCCUGCUGCAUGGUGGGGGUUGGAAAGUUUCGGCGGUUGGGGAUGGGCUCGCGGCUUAUCAGCUUGUUGGUGGGGUAGUGGCUUACCAAGGCUUUGACGGGUAGCCGGCCUGAGAGGGUGACCGGCCACAUUGGGACUGAGAUACGGCCCAGACUCCUACGGGAGGCAGCAGUGGGGAAUAUUGCACAAUGGGCGGAAGCCUGAUGCAGCAACGCCGCGUGCGGGAUGACGGCCUUCGGGUUGUAAACCGCUUUCGCCUGUGACGAAGCGUGAGUGACGGUAAUGGGUAAAGAAGCACCGGCUAACUACGUG
This 468-nucleotide ribosomal RNA is filed under the name uncultured bacterium. RNAcentral describes it as "partial 16S ribosomal RNA". It matches the Rfam family "Bacterial small subunit ribosomal RNA", at positions 28 to 507 of the family's 1533-position model. The record is from RNAcentral.